UUUUGUUUCAUACUUUGCUUUGUGAAGGAAUUGUUACUGUCCCAUAAGAAUCUCUAUGAUGUAUUGUUGUUCUAUGUGUCAUCAUGAUGCCCUCAUGUCCGUAUUAUGUUUUAUCGACACCUUCAUCCCUAAAGAUGUGGACAUGUUUUGGGUCUUGGUUUUCGCUUGAGGACAAGCGAGGUCUAAGCUUGGGGGAGUUGAUACGUCCAUUUUGCAUCAG
RNAcentral lists this long non-coding RNA (220 nucleotides) under Hordeum vulgare. RNAcentral describes it as "long non-coding RNA (HVUL_LNC021399)". Lineage: Eukaryota; Viridiplantae; Streptophyta; Magnoliopsida; Poales; Poaceae. The record is from RNAcentral.